RNAcentral lists this ribosomal RNA (792 nucleotides) under bacterium UFLA02-15. RNAcentral's name for it is "bacterial SSU rRNA". It matches the Rfam family "Bacterial small subunit ribosomal RNA", at positions 110 to 900 of the family's 1533-position model. The record is from RNAcentral.
GUAACACGUAUGUAACCUACCUUAGUCAGGGGGAUAGCCUCUCGAAAGAGAGAUUAAGACCGCAUAAUAUAUUGGAGUGGCAUCGCUUUAAUAUCAAAUAUUUAUAGGACUAAGAUGGGCAUGCGCAACAUUAGCUAGUUGGUGUGGUAACGGCAUACCAAGGCGACGAUGUUUAGGGGAUCUGAGAGGAUGACCCCCCACACUGGUACUGAGACACGGACCAGACUCCUACGGGAGGCAGCAGUAAGGAAUAUUGGUCAAUGGACGGAAGUCUGAACCAGCCAUGCCGCGUGCAGGAAGACGGCCCUAUGGGUUGUAAACUGCUUUUGCAGGGGAAUAAACCUUCGUAUGUAUACGAAGCUGAAUGUACUCUGAGAAUAAGGAUCGGCUAACUCCGUGCCAGCAGCCGCGGUAAUACGGAGGAUCCGAGCGUUAUCCGGAUUUAUUGGGUUUAAAGGGUGCGUAGGCGGCUUUUUAAGUCAGGGGUGAAAGACGGUAGCUUAACUAUCGCAGUGCCCUUGAUACUGAAGAGCUUGAAUGUAGUUGAGGUAGGCGGAAUGUGACAAGUAGCGGUGAAAUGCAUAGAUAUGUCACAGAACACCAAUUGCGAAGGCAGCUUACUAAGCUAUGAUUGACGCUGAGGCACGAAAGCGUGGGGAUCAAACAGGAUUAGAUACCCUGGUAGUCCACGCCCUAAACGAUGAACACUCGAUGUUGGCGAUAUACGGUCAGCGUCUAAGCGAAAGCGUUAAGUGUUCCACCUGGGGGAGUACGCCCCGCAAGGGGUGAAAC